RNAcentral lists this ribosomal RNA (254 nucleotides) under uncultured bacterium. RNAcentral's name for it is "partial 16S ribosomal RNA". It matches the Rfam family "Bacterial small subunit ribosomal RNA", at positions 524 to 776 of the family's 1533-position model. The record is from RNAcentral.
UACGGGGGGGGCAAGCGUUGUUCGGAAUUACUGGGCGUAAAGGGCUCGUAGGCGGCCAACUAAGUCAGACGUGAAAUCCCUCGGCUUAACCGGGGAACUGCAUCUGAUACUGGAUGGCUUGAGUUUGGGAGAGGGAUGCGGAAUUCCAGGUGUAGCGGUGAAAUGCGUAGAUAUCUGGAGGAACACCGGUGGCGAAGGCGGCAUCCUGGACCAACACUGACACUGAGUGAGCGAAAGCCAGGGGAGCAAACGGG